UAAUACGUAGGGAGCAAGCGUUGUCCGGAUUUAUUGGGCGUAAAGAGCUCGUAGGCGGCUUAGAAAGUCGGGUGUGAAACCUCCAGGCUCAACCUGGAGACGCCACUCGAUACUUCUAUGGCUUGAGUUCGGUAGGGGUAAGCGGAAUUCCUGGUGUAGCGGUGAAAUGCGCAGAUAUCAGGAGGAACACCGACGGCGAAGGCAGCUUACUGGGCCGAUACUGACGCUGAGGAGCGAAAGCGUGGGGAGCGAACAGGAUUAGAUACCCUGGUAGUCCACGCCGUAAACGUUGGGCACUAGGUGUGGGAGGUAAUCAACGCCUUCCGUGCCGUAGCUAACGCAUUAAGUGCCCCGCCUGGGGAGUACGGUCGCAAGACUA
This 379-nucleotide ribosomal RNA is filed under the name uncultured bacterium. RNAcentral's name for it is "bacterial SSU rRNA". It matches the Rfam family "Bacterial small subunit ribosomal RNA", at positions 521 to 896 of the family's 1533-position model. The record is from RNAcentral.